Molecule: ribosomal RNA, 514 nt
Filed under: uncultured Prevotella sp.
Lineage: Bacteria; Pseudomonadati; Bacteroidota; Bacteroidia; Bacteroidales; Prevotellaceae
Description: partial 16S ribosomal RNA
Source: RNAcentral
CACGGAAUUAGCCGGUCCUUAUUCAUGCGGUACCUGCAAAAAGGGACGCGUCCCUCACUUUAUCCCCGCAUAAAAGCAGUUUACAACCCGUAGGGCCGUCCUCCUGCACGCUACUUGGCUGGUUCAGGCUUCCGCCCAUUGACCAAUAUUCCUCACUGCUGCCUCCCGUAGGAGUUUGGACCGUGUCUCAGUUCCAAUGUGGGGGACCUUCCUCUCAGAACCCCUACUGAUCGUCGCCUUGGUGGGCCGUCGCCCCGCCAACCAGCUAAUCAGACGCAUCCCCGUCCGUCACCGCUAAAAAGCUUUACUUCACCUCGGAUGCCGUCAGUGAAGGCCAUGCGGUAUUAGUCUGCCUUUCGGCAGGUUAUCCCGCAGUGACGGGAAGGUUGGAUACGCGUUACUCACCCGUGCGCCGGUCGACGUCCGAAGAGUGCGAGCACUCAACGCCGUUUCCCCUCGACUUGCAUGUGUUAAGCCUGUAGCCAGCGUUCAUCCUGAGCCAGGAUCAAACUCU